GGAGAGACUCAACACAACUGAUCUGACUUCAUCAACAUGAACACACACUUGCUUCUGCUUUUACUCAUGACUUCAGGUGUGACGAAUGCAGAUCAGAUUGGACCAAAUAAGGGUGAAAAUGCCAUCAGUAAAGAGGGAGAGACUGCUACAAUGAGCUGCUCGUAUGAUACAAGCAGCAGAUAUGUUAGGCUUUACUGGUACAGACAAUAUACUAACAAAGAACUUCAAUAUUUAAUAUGGAAAGAUGCUCGAUCAUGGAGUGGUGUGGCGACUCCUGAUGAUCCUCGCAUUCGGUCUACAACAUCAGAAACCACCACUGAACUCAUUAUUACUGGUGUAACUCUGUCAGAUUCAGCUCUCUAUUAUUGUGCUCUGAGAGUUGGAGCCCAGUGAUACAAAGUAUAUGAGAAGCCGUACAAAAACUCUAUUUAAUAGUUCUCUUUGAAGUAGA
Danio rerio (zebrafish) is the source of this 451-nucleotide non-coding RNA. NCBI's taxonomy places the organism in Eukaryota, Metazoa, Chordata, Actinopteri, Cypriniformes, Danionidae. The record is from the annotation of a RefSeq genome assembly.